Molecule: long non-coding RNA, 459 nt
Organism: Homo sapiens (human)
Lineage: Eukaryota; Metazoa; Chordata; Mammalia; Primates; Hominidae
Exons: 3
Source: RefSeq, a predicted model, not a curated record
AUGACCACAACGACCUUGGUUUUGCUAAGACUAGUGCUGGCUCAUCUACAGGAUUCAGAUGUGUCCUUCACUCAGGGAGCAAGGAAACAGACAUGUUCUGCCCAAGGGCUACUGGCAACAUCCAAAAGGCAACAGUUGUUAACAGUUUCAUGGAUUUCCUUACAGUAGAGGAAGCUUCAAUAUAUAAUUUUUGAGGUUGGUGAUUCUCAACUAGGAGCUAUUUUGCCCCCCAUCCCCCACCCGGCAGUGUCUGGAGACAGUUUUGAUUGUCACAACUGCGAGAAGUGGGUGCUACUGGAAUCACUGGGUAGAGGCCAGCAAUGCUGCUAAACAUCCUACAUUGCACAGGACACCCCCACAGCAAAGAAUUAUCUAGCCCGAAAUGUUAACUGUGCUGAGGCUGAGAAACCCUGAUUUAAAAACUGUGCUCAUAUAAUAAAACCGUGUAUCCUCUUUUGA